RNAcentral lists this non-coding RNA (24 nucleotides) under Rattus norvegicus (Norway rat). The record is from RNAcentral. Lineage: Eukaryota; Metazoa; Chordata; Mammalia; Rodentia; Muridae.
GAAUUGCCAUUUGCCCCAUGGGGA